Molecule: non-coding RNA, 615 nt
Organism: Parasteatoda tepidariorum (common house spider)
Lineage: Eukaryota; Metazoa; Arthropoda; Arachnida; Araneae; Theridiidae
Source: RefSeq, a predicted model, not a curated record
UUUUCUUUCUAUUGCACUGAUGAAGGUUGCCCCUUGAGCAUCCGAAACAGCUGUCUGUAUUUUAUAAAUAUUUUUGAGCUCUUUAACGUUGUUUGCCUUAGUUUUGCACUAUUUUCCUGUUUUAGGCUACCAAAAGCAACUAUUUUGUUCAAUUUUUUCUGUGGCAACCCUAUUUGUACCGCCUGACCGGAGACCCGAUUCGUGAGCAGGAAGCUAUACAAACUCACAGCAACUUCUCGCAGCUUCUGCUGAAAGACCACUUCCAGGCAUCUCAACUGCCAGAGCACAAUUUGAUACAGUGGAUUGAAGGUGACCCACCUUUGAUGCCUAUACAGCCACAAGCUCAAACAACUUCAUCUCUGCUGUAAAACUGUCUUCUUUGUCACAAGUGUAUUGUGUUUUGAAGGUACAUAGUGUGUAUGUAAGGUAGAUUGUGUGUAUACACAGUUUUUAUUUUUCUCUUGUGUUCUUAAUGCAUUUCUUUUCUUAUAAUAACGACAAAACUCAGUUUUGUUUCUUUAUUGUACCAAAGUCAGGGUAUCCAUGCACCUGUAAAGUCAUGAAUUUUGGCAUUGAACAAAAUUUGUCAUGAAAUGUCAUGAUUUUAACUAUUUU